UACGUAGGGUGCAAGCGUUAAUCGGAAUUACUGGGCGUAAAGCGUGCGCAGGCGGUUUUGUAAGUUUGUCGUGAAAGCCCCGGGCUCAACCUGGGAAUUGCGAUGAAGACUGCAAGGCUUGAAUCUGGCAGAGGGGGGUAGAAUUCCACGUGUAGCAGUGAAAUGCGUAGAGAUGUGGAGGAACACCGAUGGCGAAGGCAGCCCCCUGGGAUAACACUGACGCUCAGGCACGAAAGCGUGGGGAGCAAACAGG
RNAcentral lists this ribosomal RNA (253 nucleotides) under uncultured bacterium. RNAcentral describes it as "partial 16S ribosomal RNA". It matches the Rfam family "Bacterial small subunit ribosomal RNA", at positions 524 to 776 of the family's 1533-position model. The record is from RNAcentral.